Molecule: ribosomal RNA, 639 nt
Filed under: uncultured soil bacterium
Lineage: Bacteria
Description: bacterial SSU rRNA
Rfam family: Bacterial small subunit ribosomal RNA
Source: RNAcentral
GAAACGGCUGCUAAUACCGCAUAAUGCAGCGGCUCGACAUCGAGACAGUUGUUAAAGCGGGGGAAUCCUUCGGGAUCCUCGCGCCUGAAGAGGAGCCUGCGGCGGAUUAGCUAGUUGGUAGGGUAAUGGCCUACCAAGCGACGAUCCGUAGCCGGCCUGAGAGGGCGGUCGGCCACACUGACACUGACAUACGGGUCAGACUCCUACGGGAGGCAGCAGUCGGGAAUUUUGGGCAAUGGGCGAAAGCCUGACCCAGCAACGCCGCGUGAAGGAUGAAAUCCCUCGGGACGUAAACUUCGUAAGAACAGGAAGAAUAAGUGGGGGACAAUACCCCCCAUGAUGACGGUACUGUUUGUAAGCUCCGGCUAACUCCGUGCCAGCAGCCGCGGUAAUACGGGGGGAGCAAGCGUUGUUCGGAUUUACUGGGCGUAAAGGGCGCGUAGGCGGUCGUGACAAGUCACUUGUGAAAUCUCCGGGCUUAACUCGGAACGGUCAAGUGAUACUGUCGGACUAGAGUACAGAAGGGGCAACUGGAAUUCUCGGUGUAGCGGUGAAAUGCGUAGAUAUCGAGAGGAACACCUGCGGCGAAGGCGGGUUGCUGGGCUGAUACUGACGCUGAGGCGCGAAAGCCAGGGACGA